Molecule: ribosomal RNA, 362 nt
Filed under: uncultured bacterium
Lineage: Bacteria
Description: partial 16S ribosomal RNA
Rfam family: Bacterial small subunit ribosomal RNA
Source: RNAcentral
UGGGGAAUUUUGGACAAUGGGCGCAAGCCUGAUCCAGCCAUGCCGCGUGCGGGAAGAAGGCCUUCGGGUUGUAAACCGCUUUGUCAGGGAAGAAAUCUUCUGAGUUAAUACCUCGGGAGGAUGACGGUACCUGAAGAAUAAGCACCGGCUAACUACGUGCCAGCAGCCGCGGUAAUACGUAGGGUGCAAGCGUUAAUCGGAAUUACUGGGCGUAAAGCGUGCGCAGGCGGUUUUGUAAGACAGAGGUGAAAUCCCCGGGCUCAACCUGGGAACUGCCUUUGUGACUGCAAGGCUUGAGUGCGGCANAGGGGGAUGGAAUUCCGCGUGUAGCAGUGAAAUGCGUAGAUAUGCGGAGGAACACC